RNAcentral lists this unclassified non-coding RNA (260 nucleotides) under uncultured Leotiomycetes. RNAcentral describes it as "sequence contains ITS1". The stretch from base 1 to 72 matches the Rfam family "5.8S ribosomal RNA", at positions 83 to 154 of the family's 154-position model. The record is from RNAcentral. Lineage: Eukaryota; Fungi; Ascomycota; Leotiomycetes.
AGUGAAUCAUCGAAUCUUUGAACGCACAUUGCGCCCUUUGGUAUUCCGGAGGGCAUGCCUGUUCGAGCGUCAUUACAACCCUCAAGCUCUGCUUGGUGUUGAGUGUCACCUCGCGUGGUGCACCUAAAAUUCAGUGGCAGCGGCCAUCGGCCCCAAGCGUAGUAAUCGUCUCGCUUGUGAGGUUUGGGGUAUGCUUGCCAGCAAGCCCUAAUUUAUCAAUGGUUGACCUCGGAUCAGGUAGGGAUACCCGCUGAACUUAA